Molecule: ribosomal RNA, 495 nt
Filed under: uncultured bacterium
Lineage: Bacteria
Description: partial 16S ribosomal RNA
Rfam family: Bacterial small subunit ribosomal RNA
Source: RNAcentral
AAUAAACGCUGGCGGCGUGCCUAACACAUGCAAGUCGAGCGCGAAAGGUCUUCGGACUGAGUAAAGCGGCGGACGGGUGAGUAACGCGUAAGAAUCUGCCCUACAGUGGAGAAUACCUUCGAGAAAUCGAAGUUAAUACUGCAUACGUUCCGAAAGGAUGAAAGAUGGCCUCUUUGCUGUCGCUGAAGGAUGAGCUUGCGUACUAUUAGCUAGUUGGUAGGGUAAAGGCCUACCAAGGCAAAGAUGGUUAGCCGGCCUGAGAGGGUGUACGGCCACAUUGGAACUGAGACACGGCCCAGACUCCUACGGGAGGCAGCAGUGGGGAAUUUUGGACAAUGGGCGAAAGCCUGAUCCAGCCAUGCCGCGUGCAGGAUGAAGGCCUUCGGGUUGUAAACUGCUUUUGUACGGAACGAAAAGGUUUGGCCUAAUAAGCUGAGCUCAUGACGGUACCGUAAGAAUAAGCACCGGCUAACUACGUGCCAGCCGCCGCGGUAA